This 627-nucleotide ribosomal RNA is filed under the name Lactococcus lactis. RNAcentral describes it as "bacterial SSU rRNA". It matches the Rfam family "Bacterial small subunit ribosomal RNA", at positions 75 to 695 of the family's 1533-position model. Lineage: Bacteria; Bacillati; Bacillota; Bacilli; Lactobacillales; Streptococcaceae. The record is from RNAcentral.
UUGUACCGACUGGAUGAGCAGCGAACGGGUGAGUAACGCGUGGGGAAUCUGCCUUUGAGCGGGGGACAACAUUUGGAAACGAAUGCUAAUACCGCAUAAAAACUUUAAACACAAGUUUUAAGUUUGAAAGAUGCAAUUGCAUCACUCAAAGAUGAUCCCGCGUUGUAUUAGCUAGUUGGUGAGGUAAAGGCUCACCAAGGCGAUGAUACAUAGCCGACCUGAGAGGGUGAUCGGCCACAUUGGGACUGAGACACGGCCCAAACUCCUACGGGAGGCAGCAGUAGGGAAUCUUCGGCAAUGGACGAAAGUCUGACCGAGCAACGCCGCGUGAGUGAAGAAGGUUUUCGGAUCGUAAAACUCUGUUGGUAGAGAAGAACGUUGGUGAGAGUGGAAAGCUCAUCAAGUGACGGUAACUACCCAGAAAGGGACGGCUAACUACGUGCCAGCAGCCGCGGUAAUACGUAGGUCCCGAGCGUUGUCCGGAUUUAUUGGGCGUAAAGCGAGCGCAGGUGGUUUAUUAAGUCUGGUGUAAAAGGCAGUGGCUCAACCAUUGUAUGCAUUGGAAACUGGUAGACUUGAGUGCAGGAGAGGAGAGUGGAAUUCCAUGGGUAGCGGGUGUGUGAAAAC